AGACCCGAAACCCGGUGAUCUAGCCAUGGGCAGGUUGAAGGUUGGGUAACACUAACUGGAGGACCGAACCGACUAAUGUUGAAAAAUUAGCGGAUGACUUGUGGCUGGGGGUGAAAGGCCAAUCAAACCGGGAGAUAGCUGGUUCUCCCCGAAAGCUAUUUAGGUAGCGCCUCGUGAAUUCAUCUCCGGGGGUAGAGCACUGUUUCGGCAAGGGGGUCAUCCCGACUUACCAACCCGAUGCAAACUGCGAAUACCGGAGAAUGUUAUCACGGGAGACACACGGCGGGUGCUAACGUCCGUCGUGAAGAGGGAAACAACCCAGACCGCCAGCUAAGGUCCCAAAGUCAUGGUUAAGUGGGAAACGAUGUGGGAAGGCCCAGACAGCCAGGAUGUUGGCUUAGAAGCAGCCAUCAUUUAAAGAAAGCGUAAUAGCUCACUGGUCGAGUCGGCCUGCGCGGAAGAUGUAACGGGGCUAAACCAUGCACCGAAGCUGCGGCAGCGACACUGUGUGUUGUUGGGUAGGGGAGCGUUCUGUAAGCCUGUGAAGGUGUGCUGUGAGGCAUGCUGGAGGUAUCAGAAGUGCGAAUGCUGACAUAAGUAACGAUAAAGCGGGUGAAAAGCCCGCUCGCCGGAAGACCAAGGGUUCCUGUCCAACGUUAAUCGGGGCAGGGUGAGUCGACCCCUAAGGCGAGGCCGAAAGGCGUAGUCGAUGGGAAACAGGUUAAUAUUCCUGUACUUGGUGUUACUGCGAAGGGGGGACGGAGAAGGCUAUGUUGGCCGGGCGACGGUUGUCCCGGUUUAAGCGUGUAGGCUGGUUUUCCAGGCAAAUCCGGAAAAUCAAGGCUGAGGCGUGAUGACGAGGCACUACGGUGCUGAAGCAACAAAUGCCCUGCUUCCAGGAAAAGCCUCUAAGCAUCAGGUAACAUCAAAUCGUACCCCAAACCGACACAGGUGGUCAGGUAGAGAAUACCAAGGCGCUUGAGAGAACUCGGGUGAAGGAACUAGGCAAAAUGGUGCCGUAACUUCGGGAGAAGGCACGCUGAUAUGUAGGUGAAGUCCCUCGCGGAUGGAGCUGAAAUCAGUCGAAGAUACCAGCUGGCUGCAACUGUUUAUUAAAAACACAGCACUGUGCAAACACGAAAGUGGACGUAUACGGUGUGACGCCUGCCCGGUGCCGGAAGGUUAAUUGAUGGGGUCAGCGCAAGCGAAGCUCUUGAUCGAAGCCCCGGUAAACGGCGGCCGUAACUAUAACGGUCCUAAGGUAGCGAAAUUCCUUGUCGGGUAAGUUCCGACCUGCACGAAUGGCGUAAUGAUGGCCAGGCUGUCUCCACCCGAGACUCAGUGAAAUUGAACUCGCUGUGAAGAUGCAGUGUACCCGCGGCAAGACGGAAAGACCCCGUGAACCUUUACUAUAGCUUGACACUGAACAUUGAGCCUUGAUGUGUAGGAUAGGUGGGAGGCUU
Molecule: ribosomal RNA, 1463 nt
Filed under: Escherichia coli
Lineage: Bacteria; Pseudomonadati; Pseudomonadota; Gammaproteobacteria; Enterobacterales; Enterobacteriaceae
Description: partial 23S ribosomal RNA
Rfam family: Bacterial large subunit ribosomal RNA
Source: RNAcentral